CCUACGGGUGGCAGCAGUGAGGAAUAUUGGACAAUGGACGGAAGUCUGAACCAGCCAUGCCGCGUGAAGGAAGACGGCUCUAUGAGUUGUAAACUGCUUUUGUACAAGGGUAAACCUGAAUACGUGUAUUCAGCUGAAAGUACUGUACGAAUAAGGAUCGGCUAACUCAGUGCCAGCAGCCGCGGUAAUACGGAGGAUCCAAGCGUUACCCGGAUUUAUUGGGUUGAAAGGGUGCGUAGGCGGAUUGAUAAGUUAGAGGUGAAAUGUCCGAGCUUAACUCGGGAACUGCCUUUAAUACUGUUAAUCUAGAGAGUAGAUGCGGUAGGCGGAAUGUAUGGUGUAGCGGUGAAAUGCGUAGAGAUCUUACGGAACACCGAUUGCGAAGGCAGCUUACCAAUCAAUAUCUGACGUUGAGGUACGAAAGCGUGGGGAGCAAACAGGAUUAGAUACCCUAGUAGUC
RNAcentral lists this ribosomal RNA (460 nucleotides) under uncultured bacterium. RNAcentral's name for it is "partial 16S ribosomal RNA". It matches the Rfam family "Bacterial small subunit ribosomal RNA", at positions 338 to 795 of the family's 1533-position model. The record is from RNAcentral.